Molecule: long non-coding RNA, 326 nt
Filed under: Androctonus crassicauda
Lineage: Eukaryota; Metazoa; Arthropoda; Arachnida; Scorpiones; Buthidae
Source: RNAcentral
CUUCGAAUUAGUGCUUUAUCGCAGUCGCCAAAUACAAUUUUAGAAUUUAAAAUUUGCUUGGUUUUUAUGGCCGAGAUAAAAGGGUUUUCUUUAUGGGUGUUCUUUCUUUUUUCAGCUCUUAUUUGUUUUACAUUAGACAGUGGCGUAGCGAGCAUAAUUGGCGCCCGAGGCAUGAUACGUUUUUGGAGCCCGGGCCACGAUACCUUUUUGGCGUCCCCCGAAAAACAUACACUGUUAACAACUUCACUCAUACACUGUUCCCUGAAUAAUAGAAUCGUCCUUCAAAAAGUAAAAUGCAUAACAAAGAUAUCUAUAGUUAUAGUUCG